RNAcentral lists this transfer RNA (69 nucleotides) under Urocitellus parryii (Arctic ground squirrel). RNAcentral describes it as "Spermophilus parryii (Arctic ground squirrel) tRNA". It matches the Rfam family "tRNA". From Rfam's summary of the family: Transfer RNA (tRNA) molecules are approximately 80 nucleotides in length. Their secondary structure includes four short double-helical elements and three loops (D, anti-codon, and T loops). The record is from Rfam by way of RNAcentral. Lineage: Eukaryota; Metazoa; Chordata; Mammalia; Rodentia; Sciuridae. RNAcentral also lists the same sequence under 1 other name.
GGGUAUAUGGCUCAGUGGUAGAGUGCUUGCCUGGAAAGCAUGAGGCCCUGGGUUCAACUUCCAGUACCA